Molecule: long non-coding RNA, 738 nt
Organism: Sinocyclocheilus grahami
Lineage: Eukaryota; Metazoa; Chordata; Actinopteri; Cypriniformes; Cyprinidae
Exons: 3
Source: RefSeq, a predicted model, not a curated record
UUCAUCCGUCCUCUCCCUCUCUAGCGCGUCUCUCCUGCUUGUUUUUCACCGCUCGGGUCUGCGAGUAGAACGCUCGCGCUCGGCCGCGCUGCUGUGAUUGGAGGGCUGCAGCAGCGCGCUGCUGUGAUUGGAGGACUGAAUCAGGGCUCAUCGCGUUACGCGCACGAGAGGAAUGUUCUCUCACACAGAGGCACAACUAGAAAGAAAAGAACGAUAGAAACCGGAGAAAAACGUUCUGGAAAGCAGGAGAAAAUCACCUAAAACCUCACCACAGAAAGUCUCUAGAAUUCACGCUUUGAAGUAGACCUUCGUCACGAGCCAUAAGUCCUAAUUUGGAAGGAUUUUGAGUUGUUUGAGCGGCUUCAUCAAAUAGGUACUACAAAGGCUUUUCACAGAGGUUUGUGGCUUUGCUCUGUGAUCAGCUCUAGACGGAAGACUCGUAAUGCUGAUACCCAUGAGUCCCCUUCAUCAUCAUGUGCUGCCACACUUGCUACCCUGUGAGGGAGAGAAGGAGAGUACGCAACCUUGAUUACCGAUGCUCAGAGAUUAACCCUUAACCCUGCGCCUGAGACAGAGACAGACCAAUGCAAUCAGCGAGUUUCCUGUCUCAUAAUUAUUGCUGCUUGAUUGGUCUGUCAGAGACCAGAUACCCUGCAGCCCACCUCCACCGUUCCACUCUGCAUUAAUGACCCAUGACAUAUGAGAACCGUGUUUACAUGCAGAACUCCAUACCGCCAC